Molecule: long non-coding RNA, 783 nt
Filed under: Marmota monax (woodchuck)
Lineage: Eukaryota; Metazoa; Chordata; Mammalia; Rodentia; Sciuridae
Source: RNAcentral
GUUUAAGGUCUGGUAUUGUGAUGCCUCCUGCUUCACUUUUCUUACUAAGGAUUGCUUUAGCUAUUCUGGGUCUCUUUUUUUUUUUCCAAAUACAUUUCAUGAUUGCUUUUUUUACUUCUAUGAAAAAUGUCAUUGGGAUUUUAAGAGGAAUUGCAUUAAAUCUGUAUAAGGUUUUUGGUAGUAUGGCCAUUUUGACAAUAUUAAUUCUGCCUAUCUAGGAGCAUGGGAGAUAUUUCCAUCUUCUGAGGUUUUCUUCUUUCUCUCUUUAGUGUUCUGUAGUUUUCAUUGUAGAGGUCUUUUACUUCUUUUGUUAGAUUGACUCCCAGGUUUGUUUGUUUGUUUGUUUGUUUGUUUUGAGGCUAUUGUGAACAAAGUAGUUUUCCUAAUUUCUCUUUCAGUGGAUUCUUCACUGAUGUAUAGGAAUGCAUUUGAUUUAUAGGUGUUGGUUUUUAUAUCCUGCUACUUUGCUGAAUUCAUUUAUUAGUUCUAGAAGUUUUCUGGUGGGAUGUUUUUUUGGAUCUUCUAGGUAUAGAAUCAUGUCAUCAGCAAAUAGUGAUAGUUUGAGUUCUUCUUUACCCCAAAUUUAUAUCCCUUUAAUCUCUUUCCUUUGUCUAAUUGCUGUGGCUAGAGUUUCAAGGAUGAUGUUGAAUAGAAGUGGUGAAAGAGGACAUCCUUGACUUGUUCCAGUUUUUAGUGGGAAUGCUUUCAAUUUUCUCCAUUUAGAAUGAUGCUGGCCUUGGGUUGAGCAUACAUAGCUUUUAUAAUGUUGAGCUAUGUUCCUAC